Molecule: long non-coding RNA, 1663 nt
Organism: Manis pentadactyla (Chinese pangolin)
Lineage: Eukaryota; Metazoa; Chordata; Mammalia; Pholidota; Manidae
Exons: 5
Source: RefSeq, a predicted model, not a curated record
AUCAUGGCCAGUUUAUAAAUCGAGGAGCCUUAGGACACCCUGAGUUGGGAGCAAAGCCUAGGUUUCUGAGUUAGGGUUUGGUACACGACAAACGUGAUACAACUGAAAAUAACCCAGCCUUCCACACACUCCGCGGAUGGUGGCCGCUUCAGCUUCAGUAUCUAUGAGCAGAGAUGAAGUCCUGCCUUCCACAAGAUUCCAGUCCCAAGUACUUCUGACGUUCCUGUGGGGAUCUGGCAAAUGCUACCAGACAAACUAAAUGUCCACUAUUGUGCACUGACGACACUGUUCUCCCACUGGGUCUGCUGCCCUGCAAACACCAUAACUGCAAGUGGAUGCACUUCUUCCCAUUGGCCACUCUGGUCUCCAUUGGCCACCACUGUCACCUGCUGUGUGCCACCAAAGGUAUUUUGGAUCUCUCAAAUUGCCAAAGGUGCACAGCCAACAAGCUAAGGAAAUUGGGAGGCCCUUCCUUGGCUGAUGAACGGAUCUUUCCUGGAUGCUGAUGAAGAAAGAUGGCAGCAUGAGGAAGAUUUGACGUUGCCCAUCGCUGGUUCUGAAAUGUAGGGGACUAUGUGCAAGGACCAAAGAGAGGUCUCUACAAGCUGGAAAAGGCAAGGAAAUGGAUUCUCCCCUUGUGCCUCCAGAAAGGAAUGCCUACUGAUACCCUGGUUUUGGCUCAACAAUACAGGUUACCUAAAAAUUAUCAACACAAUAGAGAGAAGAACAUGAACUUUGGAUAUUGCCUGAGCUUGUCAGAUUAUCAUAUCACUUGGAUUGCCAAGAACAGCCAUCUAGAGGUGCACUUCCAUGAAUAAAAAGGAAAGCAACAUGGAGCUAUUUGCUCUACAGCUGUGUUUGCUUACAGGAAACUCAGGCAGGAUGCUGAUAAGUGGCUUGAAAAGCCAAACCACAGAACUGGCCAGAACCAGGUGCAAGAUGACAAGCCAGUUCUCUGACCUGACUUUAAGCUCAUUAUGCCCUAAUUGCAAUACAUUACCUUGCUAAGAUUCAUGUGGCGUGGUUGGGGUGAGGAAUAGAAGCACUUUGCAGGCACAAUCUGCCCUGUGCAAAGGAAUUUGAGAGGCUGCACAAGCACCAGCCUUUCCUGGAAACCCCUGUCCCUUUGUAGUAAAUCCUGACUCUCCUGUCACUGCCCCUGCCUUCCUGGCCCCUGAAAAGUCUCCCAAUACCCAUUUUGGAGAGUAGGUGCCAUUAGAACAUGAGCUCUCAUCUCUCCAUUCCUUGAUCAAAGAAUAAAACUUCUCUGCUAAACUGAACUGGGCCUCCUCUUAUUGCAUAAGUGAUACUGGGCAAGAGAACCCUUGUUAGGGUCCCAACCCCUCAAAGAGUGUCAGUAACAUAAGCACAGAAAAAAUUUAAAAAUAAAUAUAAUCUGAAACCGAUUUUGCUAACUUAACCCUAGAAGAAAAGGGACAGUAUGAACCAAGUAACUGGAUUUCCUUAUUCAGGUGAGUGAAUUUCUACCUCUUGCAUCAGAAACAGAAACCUCAGACUAUCUAGGUGUACCAGAACAUUCUAUGGAGAAGACAGUGUCUGCAGAAACCCUUCCAAAGCCUACAGCUAUCCCAGAGAGUUUACAAGAAGCAUUUGUAAAGAGAAAAAAAAAGUUUAUUGAGAGAUCCACAAGAAGAAAUAAAGA